UAUACAGCGAAACUGCGAAUGGCUCAUUAUAUAAGUUAUCGUUUAUUUGAUAGUGCCUUACUACUUGGAUAACCGUGGUAAUUCUAGAGCUAAUACAUGCUAAAAACCCCGACUUCGGAAGGGGUGUAUUUAUUAGAUACAAAACCAAUGCCCUUCGGGGCUCUUUGGUGAUUCAUGAUAACUAUACGAAUCGCACGGCCUUGCGCCGGCGAUGGUUCAUUCAAAUUUCUUCCCUAUCAACUUUCGAUGUUUGGGUAUUGGCCAAACAUGGUUGCAACGGGUAACGGAGGGUUAGGGCUCGACCCCGGAGAAGGAGCCUGAGAAACGGCUACUACACCCAAGGAAGGCAGCAGGCGCGCAAAUUACCCAAUCCCGACUCGGGGAGGUAGUGACAAUAAAUACUGAUACAGGGCCCUUUCGGGCCUUGUAAUUGGAAUGAGUACAAUUUAAAUCCCUUAACGAGGAACAAUUGGAGGGCAAGUCUGGUGCCAGCAGCCGCGGUAAUUCCAGCUCCAAUAGCGUAUAU
Molecule: ribosomal RNA, 526 nt
Filed under: uncultured eukaryote
Lineage: Eukaryota
Description: SSU rRNA
Rfam family: Eukaryotic small subunit ribosomal RNA
Source: RNAcentral